RNAcentral lists this microRNA precursor (161 nucleotides) under Eucalyptus grandis. The record is from RNAcentral. Lineage: Eukaryota; Viridiplantae; Streptophyta; Magnoliopsida; Myrtales; Myrtaceae.
AAGAGAAGAGCCUGUCUAGCUAGCCGAAGGAGACAGCCUGCAACGAAGCCCGAAAACAUUUCCAAAAAGAUCUUGCAAUUUUUUUGGCAACAUUUUUUGGCAACAUUUCUCUCAUUGGAGCAGGCUAAUCAUCCUUGGCUACCAAACUGAGACUCUUAUCU